This 430-nucleotide ribosomal RNA is filed under the name Pseudomonadota bacterium. Its description in RNAcentral is "Proteobacteria bacterium partial 16S ribosomal RNA". It matches the Rfam family "Bacterial small subunit ribosomal RNA", at positions 355 to 776 of the family's 1533-position model. Lineage: Bacteria; Pseudomonadati; Pseudomonadota. The record is from RNAcentral.
UGGGGAAUAUUGGACAAUGGGGGGAACCCUGAUCCAGCCAUGCCGCGUGUGUGAAGAAGGCCUUAUGGUUGUAAAGCACUUUAAGCGAGGAGGAGGGUACUGGUAUUAAUACUACCAGGUACUGGACGUUACUCGCAGAAUAAGCACCGGCUAACUCUGUGCCAGCAGCCGCGGUAAUACAGAGGGUGCGAGCGUUAAUCGGAUUUACUGGGCGUAAAGCGCGCGUAGGUGGUUCGUUAAGUUGAAUGUGAAAGCCCCGGGCUCAACCUGGGAACUGCAUCCAACACUGGCGAGCUAGCGUAGGGCAGAGGGUGGUGGAAUUUCCUGUGUAGCGGUGCACUGCGUUGAUAUAGGACGGAACACCAGUGGCGAAGGCGACCACCUGGGCUCAUACUGACACUGAGGUGCGAAAGCGUGGGGAGCAAACAGG